This 96-nucleotide unclassified non-coding RNA is filed under the name Prochlorococcus marinus str. MIT 9313. The record is from RNAcentral. Lineage: Bacteria; Bacillati; Cyanobacteriota; Cyanophyceae; Synechococcales; Prochlorococcaceae.
GUGAGGGGUGCGAAUCAACAGUUCAGGGUCGAAACAAGGCAAGACUCCUGAUUCUGUCCCACCUAAAAAUCCCUGCCUUUGGCGGGGAUUUUUUUU